AUUGAACGCUGGCGGCAUGCCUUACACAUGCAAGUCGAACGGCAGCGCGGACUUCGGUCUGGCGGCGAGUGGCGAACGGGUGAGUAAUACAUCGGAACGUACCCUGUUGUGGGGGAUAACUAGUCGAAGGAUUAGCUAAUACCGCAUACGACCUGAGGGUGAAAGUGGGGGACCGCAAGGCCUCACGCAGCAGGAGCGGCCGAUGUCUGAUUAGCUAGUUGGUGGGGUAAAGGCCCACCAAGGCGACGAUCAGUAGCUGGUCUGAGAGGACGAUCAGCCACACUGGGACUGAGACACGGCCCAGACUCCUACGGGAGGCAGCAGUGGGGAAUUUUGGACAAUGGGGGCAACCCUGAUCCAGCAAUGCCGCGUGUGUGAAGAAGGCCUUCGGGUUGUAAAGCACUUUUGUCCGGAAAGAAAUCGCGCUGGUUAAUACCUGGCGUGGAUGACGGUACCGGAAGAAUAAGCACCGGCUAACUACGUG
Molecule: ribosomal RNA, 484 nt
Filed under: uncultured bacterium
Lineage: Bacteria
Description: partial 16S ribosomal RNA
Rfam family: Bacterial small subunit ribosomal RNA
Source: RNAcentral